This 253-nucleotide ribosomal RNA is filed under the name uncultured bacterium. Its description in RNAcentral is "partial 16S ribosomal RNA". It matches the Rfam family "Bacterial small subunit ribosomal RNA", at positions 524 to 776 of the family's 1533-position model. The record is from RNAcentral.
UACGUAGGGUGCAGGCGUUAAUCGGAAUUACUGGGCGUAAAGCGUGCGCAGGCGGUCUGCUAAGAGAGAUGUGAAAUCCCCGGGCUUAACCUGGGAACUGCGUUUCUAACUGGCAGGCUUGGGUGUGGCAGAGGGGGGUGGAAUUCCACGUGUAGCAGUGAAAUGCGUAGAGAUGUGGAGGAACACCGAUGGCGAAGGCAGCCCCCUGGGCUAAAACUGACGCUCAUGCACGAAAGCGUGGGGAGCAAACAGG